GGCAGUCUGGUGAAACCUGUGGAUCCCUUCUCAGAAUAAUGUUUGUUGUCUACAUUCAAAAAUUAAGGAGAAGCUAAAUUUCCAUUAGAGCUUUGCUGACAGCGCAUCAAUGUCGUGGUACAAUUUGAAAGUGCAAAUGGAAGCAUUUCGGUCACAGAGCAUUAAAAAGCUCCCUGGCUAAGGAACUGGAUAAAACUGCGUUCAGCAGAAGAUAUUGAAGCACAGGAAAGCAAAGUGACUUCCUCAAGGCCAACCAGAGCAUCGGUGACAUAAAUGGGGCUCCAACUCAUUUUCCCUACUCCUACUCCAAGUGAUUUUCCUACUUUAUUUCUGGGGUUUAAGAAGAGGAGCAUUCAGCGUUGCUCUUGAGUGUGUCCAAAAUUUAACUCCAUCUCUCUGGAUUCAUAAUAAUGCCUAUAAUUUACAUAAUGCUUUAAGAAUUGCAAAAUACUUUGUGUAUAUAAUCUCAUUUUAU
This is a non-coding RNA of Phascolarctos cinereus (koala), 475 nucleotides long. NCBI's taxonomy places the organism in Eukaryota, Metazoa, Chordata, Mammalia, Diprotodontia, Phascolarctidae. The record is from RefSeq and is a predicted model, not a curated record.